UGCAGUCGAACGAAGGCUUCGGCCUUAGUGGCGCACGGGUGCGUAACGCGUGGGAAUCUGCCCUUGGGUUCGGAAUAACAGUUGGAAACGACUGCUAAUACCGGAUGAUGUCGCGAGACCAAAGAUUUAUCGCCCAGGGAUGAGCCCGCGUCGGAUUAGGUAGUUGGUGGGGUAAAGGCCUACCAAGCCGACGAUCCGUAGCUGGUCUGAGAGGAUGAUCAGCCACACUGGGACUGAGACACGGCCCAGACUCCUACGGGAGGCAGCAGUGGGGAAUAUUGGACAAUGGGCGAAAGCCUGAUCCAGCAAUGCCGCGUGAGUGAUGAAGGCCUUAGGGUUGUAAAGCUCUUUUGCCCGGGAUGAUAAUGACAGUACCGGGAGAAUAAGCUCCGGCUAACUCCGUGCCAGCAGCCGCGGUAAUACGGAGGGAGCUAGCGUUGUUCGGAAUUACUGGGCGUAAAGCGCACGUAGGCGGCUUUGUAAGUCAGGGGUGAAAGCCUGGAGCUCAACUCCAGAACUGCCUUUGAGACUGCAUCGCUUGAAUCCGGGAGAGGUGAGUGGAAUUCCGAGUGUAGAGGUGAAAUUCGUAGAUAUUCGGAAGAACACCAGUGGCGAAGGCGGCUCACUGGA
This 630-nucleotide ribosomal RNA is filed under the name uncultured bacterium. Its description in RNAcentral is "bacterial SSU rRNA". It matches the Rfam family "Bacterial small subunit ribosomal RNA", at positions 56 to 733 of the family's 1533-position model. The record is from RNAcentral.